CAGUCGCCGCGGUAAUACGAGGGGGGCAAGCGUUGUUCGGAAUUAUUGGGCGUAAAGGGUGCGUAGGCGGUUUGGCAAGUUUGGUGUGAAAUCUUCGGGCUCAACUCGAAGUCUGCAUCGAAAACUGCCGGGCUUGAGUAUGGGAGAGGUGAGUGGAAUUUCCGGUGUAGCGGUGAAAUGCGUAGAUAUCGGAAGGAACACCUGUGGCGAAAGCGGCUCACUGGACCAUAACUGACGCUGAUGCACGAAAGCUAGGGGAGCAAACAGGAUUAGAGACCCCAGUAGUCCCUGUCUCUUAUAU
Molecule: ribosomal RNA, 301 nt
Filed under: uncultured bacterium
Lineage: Bacteria
Description: partial 16S ribosomal RNA
Rfam family: Bacterial small subunit ribosomal RNA
Source: RNAcentral